Long non-coding RNA from Columba livia (rock pigeon), 730 nucleotides. RefSeq lists it as uncharacterized. NCBI's taxonomy places the organism in Eukaryota, Metazoa, Chordata, Aves, Columbiformes, Columbidae. The transcript has 2 exons. The record is from RefSeq and is a predicted model, not a curated record.
GAUGCGGGGAUCUCCCGCAUCACCUGCUCCCGCAGCACCAGCUCUGGUCCCCCAGCCCAGAGCAGGUUUUUGGAAAAGCGCAGCUGUGUCCUGACCAGAGAGGCAUAUCUUGGAAACUGGGCAUAACCCAAACUGCAUUGGUGGCCGAUGUAAAAGCGUAAAAAUCCAGGGGACAAUGAAGUGAGGGAUCGCCUCUCGCUGGAAUCCUCAGUGCAGGAUGCACACAGGGCACUACUUGUAGUAUUUGUUGUGGUUUAGCUCUGCAGUUACCACUACAGAGUUGUUAAAUAGGAGAGCCAAGCAGCUCUGAUCAUUCUUACCCUGAGCUAAGCCAUCCUGUACUAAUACGGCCCAUUUUUAGAGGAAGGAAAGCAUGUGAAGGGACAACACGCACAUUUCUGGGCCAAAAAAUUCAGCCACUAAGCUUGCCAACAUGGGUUUUGAUAGCCACAACAGGCAUGCACACGUGCUAUUUCUGGCUCCCGCUGCAGAACAGGAACUUUGCUCAGAGCAGAGUACACCUGGCACAUCUCCAGAUCAAGUCUACAAUGGUCUGUCUCCACCAGCUUAGCCCCACCACACAACAUGACCUCAGCCUAAACAGGCCAAAGAGAAAGUAAAUAACAGGAAAAACCUUGUCUCAUACUUGCGUGAUAUCCGAGUGCUCCGGGAUCUCUAAUAAUUCGAUCUGUUGUUCCUGUGCCUGGGCAAUAAAGAUCUCUUUAAUGUC